Molecule: ribosomal RNA, 492 nt
Filed under: uncultured bacterium
Lineage: Bacteria
Description: partial 16S ribosomal RNA
Rfam family: Bacterial small subunit ribosomal RNA
Source: RNAcentral
AGUGAACGCUGGCGGUAGGCCUAACACAUGCAAGUCGAACGGCAGCACAGUAAGAGCUUGCUCUUACGGGUGGCGAGUGGCGGACGGGUGAGGAAUACAUCGGAAUCUACUUUUUCGUGGGGGAUAACGUAGGGAAACUUACGCUAAUACCGCAUACGACCUACGGGUGAAAGCAGGGGAUCUUCGGACCUUGCGCGAUUGAAUGAGCCGAUGUCGGAUUAGCUAGUUGGCGGGGUAAAGGCCCACCAAGGCGACGAUCCGUAGCUGGUCUGAGAGGAUGAGCAGCCACACUGGAACUGAGACAGGGUCAAGAUGACGACGGGAGGCAGCAGUGGGGAAUACUGGAAAAGGGGCGCAAGCCUGAUCCAGCAAUACCGCGUGUGUGAAGAAGGACAGAGGGUGGUAAAGCCCUGUUCUUGGGAAAGAAAAGCAGCAAGAGAAAAACCCGCCGAGCUGACGGUACCCAAAGAAUAAGCACCGGCUAACUUCGGC